This 512-nucleotide long non-coding RNA is filed under the name Chinchilla lanigera (long-tailed chinchilla). RNAcentral describes it as "lncRNA (ENSCLAG00000022787.1)". The record is from RNAcentral. Lineage: Eukaryota; Metazoa; Chordata; Mammalia; Rodentia; Chinchillidae.
GAAAAAUGCAUCUUGAUCAUUUAAGUCUUCUAGUAAUAAGGUCGGGUCCAAGGCAGUGGUGCCCCAUCUUUGGGAUGCAUGAAAACUUAUCAGGUGUGUCUAGGCUCCCGCUGCACAGUUUGUCUAUUUUAAUCAGUUUGCUUCUGAAACUUCACUUCCCUCAGGUGAGAAGAGCAGCCAAAGGCUGAGCCCGGGCUCCCACUGGGAAUUGCCCGAAUGGAAAGCUUCGCACCAGCAAUCCACGUAUCACUCGAACGUGCCAUGAACAAUAAUAUUUUGAUUAAUGGAUUCAAUCAAACAGAUUCUGGCUUAAGAAAUAAACCCCGUGUGUAUUCUUUUCUACAACUGAUGGGCUGCUUGAGACAUUGGAGAAGUAAGUCAAUAGCUCCUCUAGACAAGCUCGUUGGGAAAACUGCCUGGGCCAACAGGCAGUGAGAACUGUCGCUUCUGGCAAGGACUUCUCCAUGUUACAUCCAACUCUUGUUUUUUUUGACUGUUACCUACAAUUACAA